RNAcentral lists this ribosomal RNA (253 nucleotides) under uncultured bacterium. Its description in RNAcentral is "partial 16S ribosomal RNA". It matches the Rfam family "Bacterial small subunit ribosomal RNA", at positions 524 to 776 of the family's 1533-position model. The record is from RNAcentral.
UACGGGGGGGGCAAGCGUUGUUCGGAAUUACUGGGCGUAAAGGGCUCGUAGGCGGCCAACUCAGUCGGACGUGAAAUCCCUCGGCUUAACCGGGGAAUGGCGUCCGAUACUGGAUGGCUUGAGAUUGGGAGAGGGAUGCGGAAUUCCAGGUGUAGCGGUGAAAUGCGUAGAUAUCUGGAGGAACACCGGUGGCGAAGGCGGCAUCCUGGACCAACACUGACGCUGAGGAGCGAAAGCCAGGGGAGCAAACGGG